UGGGGAAUAUUGCACAAUGGGGGAAACCCUGAUGCAGCGACGCCGCGUGGGUGACGAAGUAUUUCGGUAUGUAAAGCCCUAUCAGCAGGGAAGAAGAUGACAGUACCUGACCAAGAAGCCCCGGCUAACUACGUGCCAGCAGCCGCGGUAAUACGUAGGGGGCAAGCGUUAUCCGGAUUUACUGGGUGUAAAGGGAGCGUAGGUGGCAUGGCAAGCCAGAAGUGAAAACCCGGGGCUUAACCCCGCGGAUUGCUUUUGGAACUGUCAGGCUGGAGUGCAGGAGGGGCAGGCGGAAUUCCUGGU
Molecule: ribosomal RNA, 303 nt
Filed under: uncultured bacterium
Lineage: Bacteria
Description: bacterial SSU rRNA
Rfam family: Bacterial small subunit ribosomal RNA
Source: RNAcentral